CUACGGGGUGCACCAGUGGGGAAUAUUGCACAAUGGGCGCAAGCCUGAUGCAGCAACGCCGUGUGAGUGAAGAAGGCCUUCGGGUUGUAAAACUCUGUCCUAAGGGAAGAAACAAAUGACGGUACCUUAGGAGGAAGCCCCGGCUAACUACGUGCCAGCAGCCGCGGUAAUACGUAGGGGGCAAGCGUUAUCCGGAAUCACUGGGCGUAAAGGGUGCGUAGGCGGCCUAUCAAGUCAGAAGUGAAAGGCAUUGGCUCAACCAAUGUAAGCUUUUGAAACUGUUGGGCUUGAGUGCAGGAGAGGUAAGUGGAAUUCCUAGUGUAGAGGUGAAAUUCGUAGAUAUUAGGAGGAACACCAGUGGCGAAGGCGACUUACUGGACUGUAACUGACGCUGAGGCACGAAAGCGUGGGGAGCGAACAGGAUUAGAUACCCGUGUAGUC
This 441-nucleotide ribosomal RNA is filed under the name uncultured bacterium. RNAcentral describes it as "partial 16S ribosomal RNA". It matches the Rfam family "Bacterial small subunit ribosomal RNA", at positions 339 to 795 of the family's 1533-position model. The record is from RNAcentral.